UACAGAGGGGGCAAGCGUUGUUCGGAAUUACUGGGCGUAAAGGGCGCGUAGGCGGCCUGUUAAGUCGAACGUGAAAUCCCCGGGCUCAACCCGGGAACUGCGUCCGAAACUGGCAGGCUUGAAUUCGGGAGAGGGAUGCGGAAUUCCAGGUGUAGCGGUGAAAUGCGUAGAUAUCUGGAGGAACAUCGGUGGCGAAGGCGGCAUCCUGGACCGACACUGACGCUGAGGCGCGAAAGCUAGGGGAGCAAACGGG
Molecule: ribosomal RNA, 253 nt
Filed under: uncultured bacterium
Lineage: Bacteria
Description: partial 16S ribosomal RNA
Rfam family: Bacterial small subunit ribosomal RNA
Source: RNAcentral